Molecule: ribosomal RNA, 38 nt
Filed under: Ramichloridium apiculatum
Lineage: Eukaryota; Fungi; Ascomycota; Dothideomycetes; Mycosphaerellales; Dissoconiaceae
Description: partial 18S ribosomal RNA
Source: RNAcentral
GGGUCAGGCGGUCGACUGUGCACCUGCGGAGGGACAUU